This is a long non-coding RNA of Triticum dicoccoides, 333 nucleotides long. RefSeq lists it as uncharacterized. The record is from RefSeq and is a predicted model, not a curated record. NCBI's taxonomy places the organism in Eukaryota, Viridiplantae, Streptophyta, Magnoliopsida, Poales, Poaceae. The transcript is spliced from 3 exons.
CAGGGGUGUUGCGAGGAGUUAGAGGUCGUGCGCCGGCCGAAGCAGCAAGAGCAAUGAUUUGGCGGCCUCUCUUCUCUGCCACAGUUCCCUUCUCUUCAUUCAGCUCUCGAGACAUUGACCUGCAGGUGCUAGAGUUUGUCCGUGUGUUGUUUAUGCUCAGGUUUAAUCUCCACAAAAGAUGGCCCACACUACUUUACAAGGAACUGCUGUUGUCCAGUUCAGAGGCAAACCAUUGUUUAACAACGGAUAUGCGGAGGCGUUUUUAUGGAUGUGCAUUUCCCCUGAAUUUGGAUAGCUAAUCAACCUGUUGCGGACAUUUUUGGUAAUUCAAUG